ACUGAGCUCUCUCGGUCUCUUCCCCUUGGAGCCGAAAUCUUUCGGUUUUCUUCCUCAGAACUGGGAUCCCUGUGCCGUCCCCGGACUUGGGGUCUCUCCGUCUCCUCCCAUCAGCUGAGAUCUCUCCGCUUGUUCCCCUCGGAGCUGAGAUCUCUCUCCCAUCUUCUCUCGCAGCAGAGAUCUCUCUUCAUUAGGAGCUGAGACCCCUCUGCUUCUUAAGCUCCGCUCUGCCCGGGCAGGUGGCAGGGGGGCCCGCGGCCAGCCUCGGAAGAGAAGGCAACGACAAAGUCACCGCCCUCCGCCUUCCUUGCCCCUCCCCAGCUUGGUCUGCCGAGGGCCAAAGCCGGGAAUCAGGGGGAAUGGCCCCUGGGAGCCAGAGACCUUCGUCCCAGGAAUCAGUGACAUUCAAAGAUGUGGCUGUGGACUUCACCCAGGAGGAGUGGUGCCUCUUGGACCAUUCUCAGAAAGAGC
RNAcentral lists this long non-coding RNA (471 nucleotides) under Sarcophilus harrisii (Tasmanian devil). RNAcentral describes it as "lncRNA (ENSSHAG00000027366.1)". The record is from RNAcentral. Lineage: Eukaryota; Metazoa; Chordata; Mammalia; Dasyuromorphia; Dasyuridae.